RNAcentral lists this ribosomal RNA (1176 nucleotides) under Triticum aestivum (bread wheat). Its description in RNAcentral is "partial small subunit ribosomal RNA". Lineage: Eukaryota; Viridiplantae; Streptophyta; Magnoliopsida; Poales; Poaceae. The record is from RNAcentral.
AUGUCAUCGUUCACCGGCGUAUCCAUCGUUGAAGACCAUGAGGGGUGCUCUUGCAACACGUCGGCGGUCGACCCUGGCACGGACAUUGGCUACCAUCUGUUCAUGGUCAAGGGCUACUCGCGCACCAAAGAGUUGUUGUCCAUAGGCGAGAGCAUCAACACUGGUCCUUUCAUAGUAGGAGGUCAUGACUGGUUAAUCGAGUACUACCCUAACGGCGCAUAUCCGAGCUGCGCCAACUUCAUCUCUCUCUAUGUAUCCCUUUUCCACGACGAUGAAAAACUGGAUGCCAGGGUCAGUUUUAGUCUCGUCGACCAGGUUGAGAGGCAGACACCAAUGUACAUUCAUGCAACUAAUAGAGCUUGCAGGUUCGACAAUGAUGUUUCUUGGGGCACCAACAAGUUUUUGACAAGAGAGGCCCUUGAACGAUCGGCACAUCUAAAGGGUGAUUCUUUCACCAUCCGGUGUGACAUAAUGGUACGCAAGGAUCACAAUACUGAAGAUGCCGGUGGCCACGGCACCAAGGUGCUCCUCUCAGACAUAGACCAGCAUUUUAACAUUCUCCUUCAAACCAAGGUGGGUGCUGAUGUGACAUUUGAGGUUAGUGGUGAGAUGUUCACUGCACAUCGUUGUGUGCUUGCAGCCCGGUCCAAAGUCUUCAUGACACAACUCUUUGGUCCCAUGAAGGAGGACAUUACCACUUCCGGUGUCAUACAUGUCAAAGAUAUGAGAGCAAGCGUGUUCAUGGCAUUGCUUAGAUUCAUCUACACGGACUCAUGCCCUGAGAUAGAGAAGGACUACAUGGAGGAGGAAGAAAUGUCACAAGUUCUUGAAGAAGAACAAGAAGAUGGUACAGUAGAGGAUGAUGAAAACUGGCUACAAUGGCUUCAAGACUUGUUUGUGGCGGCAGACAUGUACGAUGUCGAACAACUCAAGCGCAUAUGUGAAAUGCGAUUGUCUGAUAACUUAAUUUUGAGCUCGGUGAUGUCUACCCUUGCUCUAGCCGAGCAGCACCACUGCCAGGGAUUGAAGGAGGCAUGCUUGAAGUUUAUUCAAGUCCAACCCCCCUGGUGCUUGCAAACAGUAACGAUGAGUGAUGGCUGGGAUCACGUAGUUUCAACCUAUCCCUCGGUUAUAAAGGAGAUUUUUUUCAAGCUUGCUUCGAACCAACGGAAGUGA